RNAcentral lists this ribosomal RNA (274 nucleotides) under uncultured bacterium. RNAcentral's name for it is "partial 16S ribosomal RNA". It matches the Rfam family "Bacterial small subunit ribosomal RNA", at positions 523 to 796 of the family's 1533-position model. The record is from RNAcentral.
AUACGGAGGGUGCAAGCGUUGUCCGGAUUUAUUGGGUUUAAAGGGUGUGUAGGCGGUGUAUUAAGUCAGUGGUGAAAGCCUGCGGCUCAACCGUAGAACUGCCAUUGAUACUGACACACUUGAGUAUGGACGAGGUAGGCGGAAUUUAUGGUGUAGCGGUGAAAUGCAUAGAUACCAUAAAGAACACCGAUAGCGAAGGCAGCUUACUAGGCCAUAACUGACGCUGAGGCACGAAAGCGUGGGGAGCGAACAGGAUUAGAAACCCGUGUAGUCC